AUUAGCUAAUCCAGCAUCUCGUGUUGUUACUAUUAUGCGGCUACCUUUCACAUUAUUACUAGGAAAAGCUAUUUUUCGAACCCAUUCCCAGUGAUCUAGGUUCCACAGAUCAUCAAGAACAACAAAGUACCUCUUCUCUUUCAGCUCUUUCCUGAGGUAUCUUGCGAGGUCCUCUUCUCGCACCAACUUCCUUUCAAGCUGCUGCUUCAAUGCCCCAUCACCAAAAAGUUCCUUGAUCAUGACUUUCAGCACCUCCAUCCUGACAAAUGACUGGGACAAAAUGAUCCAUGCACAACAUGAGAAGUCCUUUUUUACACUUUCAUAUACCUUCCUUGUGAUUGUAGUCUUACCCAAACCACCCAUGCCGACCACACAUACCACUUUAGCAGGGUCAUUAAUGGCAUGGACAUCGAUAAGCUCAAUCAAAUCUUGUUUGGGUUUGGUAAAACCUACAAGUUCAGCUUCAUCAAUGUUGCUAGCUGAUUGGUUGCGAAUAUCUUCCAGGAAAGAAUCCCUCUCUUCAACCAUGCCAGUGCCCUCGCUCUUGUCAAUCAAGUUGUAGCGCGUGUUCCUGCUGCUUACUUCUUCGACUCUUGAUUUGAGAUCGCGGAUCUGCAUUGCGAUCCGAUGACGAUCUUUGAGCUUCAUCAGCUGCUGCGACAAGCUCUGGCUUCGCACAUGCACCAUGAAUUCACCAAGACAGUCUUCAAUGUUGUAGGAGAGGUCCCGUACUUGCUUUGCCCACACCUUGAGUAGCAUGUCUUUCUGCUUCAUUCUUUCAGCAGCCACGAGGAAUGCUUGCAUCGUCUCCAGCUCGUCUUUGAUGAACCUGUCGAACAAAGGUUCAAAAUAAACUUAGAACAUGAGAGAUCUGAUGUUCAAAAUGAAAAAAAAGAGGCUGUUGGAUUAAUUUAUAUAGGCAACGUUAGAAGUGAAAGAUGUUCUGACUUGUGAGACGUGGACUUAGGCAGUUAGGCGAUCGAUCUGAUUGAACAAAGCAAGUAGCUGGGGAACACAUACCAGAUGUCCUUGCGGACGCCCAUUAGGAGGCUCAUCUCGUCAGCAGCGGCAGAGGCGGCCUUGCUGACGGCGCCACUCAGCAUCGACCUCGCCAUGCUCAACACCGUCUCCGCCAUCUCUAGACGCCAGUUUCGAUGGUACUAGCUCUCAAACAACACACACACAAUGGCUUAACAAGGGAUCAAGAGAUACAACUAGCUAGCGACCAAGGCAAGUCCAAACAGGCAAGUCGCAGGCCCAUAUAUGUAGCUAGCGAAGCGAAGUCUUGUGUACCGAUAAAAAACAAAGCCUUGUGUAUACAGGUAACCUUCUCUAUAUUUUUUUUUCUUUGAACCGCUAACCAUGUUUUCCGCAUGGUUUGUGUAUAGCUAAUUACUUCUAUAGGUAAGCUAGGGCAUGUGGGAGGCUUGGAAGGAUGGUGGGUUAGUUAAGCAGUACGGAGUACUUCUUUAACGGAAAUUCAAUAUACUCCCUCCGUCUUAUACGUAUUAAGUGUCGAAAUAUUACAUGUAUCUAAACAUAUUUUAGUAUAUUGAUACGUCCAUAUUUAAACAAAUUUGAGUCACUUAAUACGAGACGGAGGAACGAGAUGAAUGCUGCCAACGACUAUAAGCUGUUGUCUAGUCAUCAGCUUGAUCCUAGCUAGAGUUAAUUUAUAUAGCUAUAUGCACGCAUGCUGCCAACGACUAUAAGCUUUCUUCACUGAUGAUUGAUGAAGUGUCCCAAGGAUCGGAGAAAAGAGGAUGGGCUGAGGCUGAGCAGUGAGCACAAACUACACUACUGUGCACUGCAGGACUAGUAUUGGUGUUGGGGCAAUUAUUGGUGUUGCUCUACAGGUUCGGACAUUAGAUAGACAGUAGUACCGAAGUUUUCAUGCCAUGGAGAGGCCGUCCUUGCUUGCCCCACCCCUCCUGACCAAGCACAUGCUGACAUGCACCACCACAGAAGCAAGUUGAAGACAAGAGUUACUGUAGGAAACGGUAGCUGUAAAGCUGAUUUCAGAAGACAAGGCAUGGCUAGAUAGAACCCUCGGGUAAUUGAAUAUGGCCAUCACUGGCAACCAGCUGCACGAUACUUGAAUGUGGCCACCUAACAUGAGAAAACAGUCCUACAAAAACUUCCACGUUCAAAUGAAAGCAACUCAACAUGUAUGUGGCCACCCAACAUGAAAGCAACUCCUCCUGCAAUGGUCGUCUUAUAUAUGCAAAUGCAAGGAAGCUGGGAGAAAGAUGCAGUCACAGUCUUAAUUACUCCACACUGUAUAAGUUAAGAUCAUGCGCAUAUUAGAGACCACACGUAAUGGUGUAUUUGAGGUGGUUGUAAUAUUUCUCGUGCGUGAAUUCACGUUUUAUUAUUUCAGAAAACUCAUCCCUGACACCAACAGUUGCGUUCUCAAACAUUUUUGAGUUGUUCCCUCCUCUUUGAAAGAAAAUCCAAAAUUUGAGUUCUCACCUAUGGUGAAAAAAUGUCAAAAUUGCUUUCGCGCUUAGUCUGAGCUAUUCACACCUAUGAAGCAUGAAUAUGAUUAAGACUUAUACUGGCCCCGUGUGAUGAGUGUGACCACAGUACACCCACACCAGGUCACCAGCUGGCCGGAUCCAUGUGCUGAUCUGCCUCCCAUGUUAAAGUUGCCGCUCAGAUGACCAAGCACAUGAUUAUUACUGUAGGCAACGCUAGCUGUGAAGCUGAUUUCAGAACAAAAGACAUGGGUCGAUAGAACCCUCGGGUAAAUUGAAUGUGGCCAUCACUGGCAUGAUACUUCAAUGUCGCCACGUAACAUGGGAAAAUAGUUCUACAGAUACUUCCAUGUUCAUACCAGAGUCCAGAGGAGCUUUGCUAAGUUGCCCAUCAACAAUUUCUCCUAGCUUUCUUGCUGUUUCUAGUUUUUUUGUUUAGGUUUCUUGUAGAAACUCCUCUAGUCUAGCUUUCUUCAUUUUUCGUGUACAGGCUCGUUUUGAAUUUCUAUGAAAAAUACGCAGCAGGAUCUUUCUACUGUUACUCCUAACAAAACAUGAGAAAAUAGUGUUGAUGAGAAUGGGAGUAUCAAAUUUUCAAAUGGCAGGCAUGGAAUGCACCAGAAGGCAGAAGCAGUGGCAUCAGUAGCAGCGUUGGGGCUUUCAUGGCGUGGCGAUAAAUGCAAAUGUCCAUUGAUGCAGAGGCCUGCUGCAGCGUCCUGACCAGGCACUUGCACUAGCAGAGAAACAAAUCGAAGGAGAGGAGGACAAAGACAAAGACCAAGAUACACCCCAAGCUAAUGCUUCAAAAUACUUGUCCUUGGGUCACCGACACGGUCUAGAACAUGAUAAUUUCACCGUCAGUUUCAUUUACAUUCUGAAAGAACAUUUGGUGAUAGGUCUACUAGUAUCGAUUUGAUCUUGUCCAUGUAAAUGUUUUUUAAAAAUUGAUUAUUGGAGUACUUUUCUAGUUAUUGUUUCAAGCUUUUCAAUCCCCCCAUUUUUGUGCAUCAUUCACAGCAAACAGAAUCGAAAUUGUGAUAAGGGACUUGAGUUUUGCAAGACUAAGCAAAGAAUCGCGACAGAAUUGCAUCACCACCAUAUCAUAUCCAAGUAUCUAACACUAGGUUCCACUGCAUCAUCCACCACGCCCCACUCACUCGAUGAACUCCAACUAAACAACAGGGGCGGAAAAAGAGGGAGACCCUAAGCAAGCAAGCUGAGAGUAAAGAGUUAGCGUAAGGACCUUGCGUUGGGAGCCGGCGGCGAAGCUCGGCGGCCACGCUAGCUCUCCCGCGGCGGCGGCGGCCGCGGAAGCGGUGGUGCUCGUGGACGCGUCCGGCGUCCGAGAGGACGCGAUGCGGCGGAGCGGCGGAGCGGAAACAGGGUCCGGCCUUGAGCAAGUUCGAGCCCAUUGAUCAGUAUGGGCCGGACCAGACAUAUUGCUUAGUGGAGCCCAUUGAUCAGUAUGGGCCUUGACCAAGUUCGGGCACAUUGAUUAGGCCCUCGUCGUAUUUUGUUUUUAUUCGAGCAAACGUAAAAGCCUUGCGUGCAUGAAAUUCGGUUUGCAAGACUUGCAGAGUCAGAGGAACUUGUGUCUCCAUUAAUUCAAUCGUCAGUUACAAAGCAGUGUGCAAAUAUUUGUGCCCAUCGACAAAUGGAGAAUACUAGUAAACGAAACUCUAUUGAAACUUGCACGUGAUUGCUUUUCAGAAGAAAAAUAAUUGCACGACGUACUCCUGGGACUAGAAAUUAAGCUGAUGAUGCUGUGAUGAUUCGCACAACACUACUGAAUUCCUGGGGCUGGAAGCUGUUUGAGAAAAUAGGAUCUGAUGACAAGUUGAUCAGCUCCUAUAUAUACGGUGAUAUUCGACUCUUGGUCUGAUCUCUGGAAACGACAGUCGCAGCCCUGGAAAUGAUGCUGAUUGUGUUGCUUGCUCCAGGAUCACGUACGGGAGCAUUGAACUAGCUGAGAUGAUCUUCGCACGCCCGACCAUCAAUCCUGCCUGAAAGAUUGCACAGGUGUUUGUGUUGUCAUCACUGAAUUUUUUAAAUGGAUUCAACUGAUUAAACCGUCUAACGUUGAGGGUAAAAGGGAGAAAUCCUACGUACCAUGCAUGAUGUUCAGCGUGCUAAGAGAGAAACCAUCUGGCUUCUCUUGCAGUUGCAUAACUUCUUAUGCCAGGGAAUCUGAAUGCAUACACAUUGCACUGGAGAAAACCAAGGGAGCCAUGCCUUGAUAUAACAGUGCCUUUCACAUUGCGGCCUGUUCAGAACUUCAGCGAACAGAGGAUCCAUGCUCGAGACGUUUGCUCAAUUCAGCUCGACAAGGGGCCCUGCUCCAUGUUAACACAAAGACAUAAAAAUCUGAAAGUUGCUCGAGGACGCAAUACAUUAGUUUCUGAAGCUGUCUAAAGUUUUCCGUGCAAAAAUAUCUACUUGUAAGAAAGAUAAUGCAUCUGCUGUGCAACCAAGUGGAGCAAACAGAAUCAACACUAAUUAAGAAGAUGGGAUUUUGCAGGUUUAAGACAUUGAUGCACAAAUUCUGGAACGCUAACUUUGCUAAGAUACCAAAAGCGUGUUUUGAAAGACGUUGUGACAAGCACUUGAAGAGCGAAUAGCGCAACAAACUUUGUCCUCGAAAUAAGAUGGAACGGAACAAUUAAGCAGAGGAGGGCUCAUCUGUACUGACACGGUAGCACAAGCCGGCGAGUCGAGCUGCAGGUGGAACGGUAAGGAGACUCUGAGGUGGCGGCAAUCAAAGCCGAUCACCAGAUUGGAACGGGCAGUAAUAGUAUAUAUCAUGAAGCAUCUUCUUCUUCGUUGUCGGAAAUGCAAGAGCAGAAAUCACCUCCGUCAUCGUCUUCUAAAUUGGAGUCUUCUUCCCUGUCGUCAAAGGAAACAAGACAGAGAUGAAUGGCAUUGCAGCAAUUAACAUCCCGCAUGGGUUGAUAGCUGCUAGUACUGAAAAAGAAAUUAGAAAAGAGUUAAUGGCAGACCUUUUGCUUGUCGUCGGCACGAGGGUGACCACCAGCGAGGAGCUCUCGACCGCUGCAGCAUCGGAUCCUUGGACUAUGUCGCCCAGGUCAUGCUCGCUCCGGUCAAACUUCAGUUGCAGCACGGGCUUGUUGGGGUGCGCAUCCACUUCACCUUGCAGCACACCAAACCUCGCCACUUUACUUUGCCAGCCUAGUGAAAUCUCCUUGAGCCUUGGAAGGUGCUUGAUGCCAACAAUCCCUGAUUCCAAACUGCACCAUCGGAUUUCUAUCCUUUCUAUGUGGGGUGAGGUGCCCUCCUCAAAUCUCACCUCUUUCAGUUCAUCCAGAUGAACAAUUACAAGUUGCUUGAGAUUUGGGAAUGCUUCCGUCCUGAACACUAGCUUCUUUCCCAAAUAAGCAUCCAAACAAAGAGAAAGGAGAAUGAGGUUUGGUAGUGUUCCUAGUAUUUCCAUUAUUUUACCUCCUUCUUUCAGUUUGCUCCUGAGUAAAGUAAUCUUCACCAAUUGCAUCAGACUUCCGACCCAGUUGGGCAUCUCUUCACCAAGACGUCCAUACAACCAUAGGCUUCUCAGGCAGAGAGGUGGAGCCGAAACACCAUGCAGCCACUCGAGUGUUCUAUCCUGACCAGCACUCACAUGAAGAAAGCGAAGGGAAGAGAGCUUCUCGAUGGCCACACAGAGUAUCUUGCAUUUUUUCUUGGUGGCCUCUUUUGUUUCGACUUUUAGCUUUCUUAGCAGCGUAAGCUGCCCAAGCUCUUCAACUGCCUUGCUACAAGUUCGUUUAAUGUCCACAGUCUCUAAUAUCUCUAACUCUUUCAAGUUGCCAAUCCCUCUUGGCACCUUCACACCUCUCGACAUGGACCAACAGGAAGAGAAUCCCUUGUGUAGCUCAGGUAUUACUUUGGCACGGUCCUCAUCAUCAAGUAAAGGUGUGAAGAACAAGGGCAGAAGCAGAAAGUGCAGCAAGCAUUUCGUGGGCUCUUCUGGAUCAAAAAAGUAAUAUGGUGCACGGUUGAAACAACGGAGUGCACGGAGACUUUUGAGUUUACUAAUCUCUCUCGGUAGUGUUGUAAUAUAAGUGUCUCUUAUGUCCAAAAUCUGCAACCCUUGUAAUUUCCCUAUAGAUCUUGGAAGUUUAUAAAUAUUUGAGUAUCCUCUAGAAUGAUAAACGUUCAAGUAUUUCAAGUGGCGCAUCAACCCUAUGUUCUGGAAAUCUUUUUGUGUGGUUUCAAACUGUGCACUGUGUAGAUCCAAGGUCCUAAGCAUUCUAAACUCACUUGAACACACUGAAGGUGACGGUUGAUGGGUCUCUCACCAAACAUGGUUAAUGACCGAACAUGGCUCCAAUCCAUGGCUUUUGGGGGGCACUUGGUACCAUGGUAUGCUAUAUGCCGGAAGUUCUCCUCUGGUACACUAGUUAUAAUAUCCCCACCAAUCAAGCCCACAAAAUUUUCUUCUAUAGAAAUUGAGACCAUGACAUCACGCACGAUAUCAUGGACUCGGCAACUCUUAACGGUUCCUUCUAUGUUCAACCUUGAUGGCUGAAUCAUGCUUCGGUUGAUUAACUCAUCAAAGUACCCAUUUCCAAUGUCCACAAUAUUCAUCCCAGCCCUGGCUUCCACGAACCCCUCUGCAAUCCAUCUUCCCACUAGGCGGCUCCUCUGGAUUUCAAAAUCCUCGGGAAAUAUGCUCAUGUACAGAAAGCAUGACUUGAGAUGAGAUGGCAAGUGGUUAUAUAUACUUUCCCACCCGGUUACCAUUUUGGUGGCAAGCAAUCCUCCUAUAGUGAGUAUAGCUAGAGGCAAGCAACCACACUUUUUCACAAUUUUAGGAACUAUCUUCCUCAUUGUCUCAUCAUUCUUCAUGUCUUCAAGUCUUUUUCUAGUCUUUCUUAGUAACAACUUUGUAGCAUCAUCUAUUGCUAGGGCUUUGAGGUGGAAAAUAAGGGGUUUGAAAGUACAAUCCUUAGCUAAUCCAGCAUCUCGUGGUUCAAAAGUACAAUCAUUAGCUAAUCCAGCAUCUCGUGUUGUUACUAUUAUGCGGCUACCUUUCACAUUAUCACUAGGAAAAGCUAUUUUUCGAACCCAUUCCCAGUGAUCUAGGUUCCACAGAUCAUCAAGAACAACAAAGUACCUCUUCUCUUUCAACUCUUUCCUGAGGUAUCUUGCGAGGUCCUCUUCUCGCACCAACUUCCUUUCAAGCUGCUGCUUCAAUGCCUCAUCACCAAAAAGUUCCCUGAUCAUGACUUUCAGCACCUCC
RNAcentral lists this long non-coding RNA (7731 nucleotides) under Brachypodium distachyon (stiff brome). Its description in RNAcentral is "long non-coding RNA (BDIS_LNC000988)". The record is from RNAcentral. Lineage: Eukaryota; Viridiplantae; Streptophyta; Magnoliopsida; Poales; Poaceae.